GGAUGGACCCGCGUCUGAUUAGCUAGUUGGUAAGGUAACGGCUUACCAAGGCGACGAUCAGUAGCCGACCUGAGAGGGUGAUCGGCCACAUUGGAACUGAGACACGGUCCAAACUCCUACGGGAGGCAGCAGUGGGGAAUAUUGCACAAUGGGCGAAAGCCUGAUGCAGCAACGCCGCGUGAGUGAUGAAGGCCUUCGGGUCGUAAAACUCUGUCCUCAAGGAAGAUAAUGACGGUACUUGAGGAGGAAGCCCCGGCUAACUACGUGCCAGCAGCCGCGGUAAUACGUAGGGGGCUAGCGUUAUCCGGAUUUACUGGGCGUAAAGGGUGCGUAGGCGGUCUUUCAAGUCAGGAGUGAAAGGCUACGGCUCAACCGUAGUAAGCUCUUGAAACUGGGAGACUUGAGUGCAGGAGAGGAGAGUGGAAUUCCUAGUGUAGCGGUGAAAUGCGUAGAUAUUAGGAGGAACACCAGUUGCGAAGGCGGCUCUCUGGACUGUAACUGACGCUGAGGCACGAAAGCGUGGGGAGCAAACAGGAUUAGAUACCCUGGUAGUCCACGCUGUAAACGAUGAGUACUAGGUGU
This 582-nucleotide ribosomal RNA is filed under the name uncultured bacterium. Its description in RNAcentral is "bacterial SSU rRNA". It matches the Rfam family "Bacterial small subunit ribosomal RNA", at positions 223 to 823 of the family's 1533-position model. The record is from RNAcentral.